CGGGGCUUAAUGUCUUGUAAUUGGAAUGAUGGGAAUUUAAACCUCUUCCAGAGUAUCAAUUGGAGGGCAAGUCUGGUGCCAGCAGCCGCGGUAAUUCCAGCUCCAAUAGCGUAUAUUAAAAUUGUUGCAGUUAAAAAGCUCGUAGUUGAAUUUCUGCUGCAUUGCUUGUGUCCCUCUGGGGUCUGUGCAUGUGGCUUUUUUCGGACGGAGUUUCUUUGUCUGAAUGUUUACUUUGAGAAAAUUAGAGUGCUCAAAGCAGGCUUUCGCCUUGAAUAGUUUAGCAUGGAAUAAUAAAGUAGGACUUUGGUUCUAUUUUGUUGGUUUUAGGUACCAAAGUAAUGGUUAAUAGGAACAGUUGGGGGCAUUCGUAUUUAACUGUCAGAGGUGAAAUUCUUAGAUUUGUUAAAGACGAACUACUGCGAAAGCAUUUGCCAAGGAUGUUUUCAUUAAUCAAGAAC
Molecule: ribosomal RNA, 458 nt
Filed under: Theileria annulata
Lineage: Eukaryota; Apicomplexa; Aconoidasida; Piroplasmida; Theileriidae
Description: SSU rRNA
Rfam family: Eukaryotic small subunit ribosomal RNA
Source: RNAcentral